GAUGAACGCUGGCGGCGUGCCUAAUACAUGCAAGUCGAGCGAACAGACGAGGAGCUUGCUCCUCUGACGUUAGCGGCGGACGGGUGAGUAACACGUGGAUAACCUACCUAUAAGACUGGGAUAACUUCGGGAAACCGGAGCUAAUACCGGAUAAUAUAUUGAACCGCAUGGUUCAAUAGUGAAAGACGGUUUUGCUGUCACUUAUAGAUGGAUCCGCGCCGCAUUAGCUAGUUGGUAAGGUAACGGCUUACCAAGGCAACGAUGCGUAGCCGACCUGAGAGGGUGAUCGGCCACACUGGAACUGAGACACGGUCCCGACGCCUACGGGAGGCAGCAGUAGGGAAUCUUCCGCAAUGGGCGAAAGCCUGACGGAGCAACGCCGCGUGAGUGAUGAAGGUCUUCGGAUCGUAAAACUCUGUUAUUAGGGAAGAACAAAUGUGUAAGUAACUAUGCACGUCUUGACGGUACCUAAUCAGAAAGCCACGGCUAACUACGUG
This 497-nucleotide ribosomal RNA is filed under the name uncultured bacterium. RNAcentral describes it as "partial 16S ribosomal RNA". It matches the Rfam family "Bacterial small subunit ribosomal RNA", at positions 28 to 507 of the family's 1533-position model. The record is from RNAcentral.